RNAcentral lists this ribosomal RNA (256 nucleotides) under uncultured bacterium. RNAcentral's name for it is "partial 16S ribosomal RNA". It matches the Rfam family "Bacterial small subunit ribosomal RNA", at positions 524 to 776 of the family's 1533-position model. The record is from RNAcentral.
UACGUAGGGGGCCAAGCGUUUGUCCGGAUUUAUUGGGCGUAAAGAGCUCGUAGGCGGUUUGUCGCGUCGAAUGUGAAAACCCGGGGGCUCAACUCCGGGCCUGCAUUCGAUACGGGCAGACUAGAGUUCGGAAGAGGCGAGUGGAAUUCCCGGUGUAGCGGUGAAAUGCGCAGAUAUCGGGAGGAACACCAAUGGCGAAGGCAGCUCGCUGGGACGUUACUGACGCUGAGACGCGAAAGCGUGGGGAGCAAACAGG